Molecule: transfer RNA, 72 nt
Filed under: Armillaria ostoyae
Lineage: Eukaryota; Fungi; Basidiomycota; Agaricomycetes; Agaricales; Physalacriaceae
Rfam family: tRNA
About the family: Transfer RNA (tRNA) molecules are approximately 80 nucleotides in length. Their secondary structure includes four short double-helical elements and three loops (D, anti-codon, and T loops). Further hydrogen bonds mediate the characteristic L-shaped molecular structure. tRNAs have two regions of fundamental functional importance: the anti-codon, which is responsible for specific mRNA codon recognition, and the 3' end, to which the tRNAs corresponding amino acid is attached (by aminoacyl-tRNA synthetases). tRNAs cope with the degeneracy of the genetic code in two manners: having more than one tRNA (with a specific anti-codon) for a particular amino acid; and 'wobble' base-pairing, i.e. permitting non-standard base-pairing at the 3rd anti-codon position.
Source: RNAcentral
GCAAUCAAUAAGGUAGUGGUAACCUGGGUCGUUGUCAUCGACCCGCCGGGGGUUCAACUCCCCCUUGAUGCG